GAUGAACGCUGGCGGCGUGCCUAAUACAUGCAAGUCGAGCGAACGGACGAGAAGCUUGCUUCUCUGAUGUUAGCGGCGGACGGGUGAGUAACACGUGGAUAACCUACCUAUAAGACUGGGAUAACUUCGGGAAACCGGAGCUAAUACCGGAUAAUAUUUUGAACCGCAUGGUUCAAAAGUGAAAGACGGUCUUGCUGUCACUUAUAGAUGGAUCCGCGCUGCAUUAGCUAGUUGGUAAGGUAACGGCUUACCAAGGCAACGAUGCAUAGCCGACCUGAGAGGGUGAUCGGCCACACUGGAACUGAAACACGGUCCAGACUCCUACGGGAGGCAGCAGUAGGGAAUCUUCCGCAAUGGGCGAAAGCCUGACGGAGCAACGCCGAGUGAGUGAUGAAGGUCUUCGGAUCGUAAAACUCUGUUAUUAGGGAAGAACAUAUGUGUAAGUAACUGUGCACAUCUUGACGGUACCUAAUCAGAAAGCCACGGCUAACUACGUG
RNAcentral lists this ribosomal RNA (497 nucleotides) under uncultured bacterium. Its description in RNAcentral is "partial 16S ribosomal RNA". It matches the Rfam family "Bacterial small subunit ribosomal RNA", at positions 28 to 507 of the family's 1533-position model. The record is from RNAcentral.